CAUAUACUAAUGGGUGUGAUCAUACCAGCACUAAUGCACCGGAUCCCAUCAGAACUCCGCAGUUAAGCGUGCUUGGGCGAGAGUAGUACUAGGAUGGGUGACCUCCCGGGAAGUCUUCGUGUUGCACCCCUUUUUUGUUCCUCUUGAUUUUUUUGUUUUUUUUUUUUUGGGUCUUUUCAUUUGAAAAACAAUGCAUCUUCCGAACGACACUAUUUCAAGACCGUGUGGAACCACGCCUCCUACAACAACUUUUUCGGAAAGCCCCAAGAGUGUUCUCGGGUUUGCCCAACGGUCUAAAGACCAUGGGUGCGUUUUACGAGGCCAAAUUUUGAGUUUUAGACCCUCUUCCGGGCGUUUUUCUAAAACAUAAGCCCCGGUAUUAGUGUCGUCAAACGUGGUAACCUAACUUAUAUAUUUUGGCACGAAUGCUCGUCGCAGCUGGGAGGGAAAUUCCAUAUAAACAGUGCAACACACGCGAAGAGAUUUCAUUGCGGACUCAAAGCCAAAGGAUAUAUGCUAAUGCGAUACAUACACUAAUGGGUGCGAUCAUACCAGCACUAAUGCAUCGGAUCCCAUCAGAACUCCGCAGUUAAGCGUGUUUGGGCGAGAGUAGUACUAGGAUGGGUGACCUCCCGGGAAGUCCUCGUGUUGCACCCCUUUUUUGUUCCUCUUGAUUUUUUUGUUUUUUUUUUUUGGGCUUUUCAUCUGAAAAACAAUGCAUCUUCCGACCGACACUAUUUAAAGACCGUGUGGAACCACGCCUCCUACAACAACUUUUCGGAAAGCCCCAAGAGUGCUCUCGGGCUUGCCCAAGGGUCUAAAGACCAUGGGUGCAGUUUACGAGGCCAAAUUUUGAGUUUUAGACCCUCUUCCGGGCGUUUUUCUAAAACAUAAGCCCUGGUUUUAGUGUCGUCAAACGUGGUAACCUAACUUAUAUAUUUUGGCACGAAUGGUCGUCGCAGCUGGGCGGGAAAUUCCAUAUAAACAGUGCAACACACGCGAAGAGAUUUCAUUGCGGACUCAAAGCCAAAGGAUAUAUGCUAAUGCGAUACAUAUACUAAUGGGUCCGAUCAUACCAGCACUAAUGCACCGGAUCCCAUCAGGACUCCGCAGUUAAGCGUGCUUGGGCGAGAGUAGUACUAGGAUGGGUGACCUCCCGGGAAGUCCUCGUGUUGCACCCCUUUUUUGUUCCUCUUGAUUUUUUUGUUUUUUUGUUUUUGGUCUUUUCAUCUGAAAAACAAUGCAUCUUCCGAACGACACUAUUUAAAGACCGUGUGGAACCACGCCUCCUACAACAACUUUUUGGAAAGCCCCAAGAGUGCUCUCGGGCUUGCCCAACGGUCUAAAGACCAUGGGUGCGGUUUACGAGGCCAAAAUUUUGAGUUUUAGACCCUCUUCCGGGCGUUUUUCUAAAACAUAAGCACUGGUUUUAGUGUCGUCAAACGUGGUAACCUAACUUAUAUAUUUUGGCACGAAUGCUCGUCGCAGCUGGGCGGGAAACCCAUAUAAACAGUGCAGCACAUGCGAAGAGAUUUCAUUGUAGACUCAAAGCCAAAGGAUAUAUGCUAAUGUGAUACAUAUACUAAUGGGUGUGAUCAUACCAGCACUAAUGCACCGGAUCCCAUCAGAACUCCGCAGUUAAGCGUGGUUGGGCGAGAGUAGUACUAGGAUGGGUGACCUCCCGGGAAGUCCUCGUGUUGCACCUCUUUUUUGUUCCUCUUGAUUUUUUUGUUUUUUUUUUUUUUGGGUCUUUUCAUUUGAAAAACAAUGCAUUUUCCGAACGACACUAUUUCAAGACCGUGUGGAACCACGCCUCCUACAGCAACUUUUUUGGAAAGCCCCAAGAGUGCUCUCGGGCUUGCCCAACGGUCUAAAGACCAUGGGUGCGUUUUACGAGGCCAAAAUUUUGAGUUUUAGACCCUCUUCCGGGCGUUUUUCUAAAACAUAAGCCCUGGUUUUAGUGUCGUCAAACGUGGUAACCUAACUUAUAUAUUUUGGCACGGAUGCUCGUCGCAGCUGGGCGGGAAAACCCAUAUAAACAGUGCAACACAUGCGAAGAGAUUUCAUUGCGGACUCAAAGCCAAAGG
Molecule: long non-coding RNA, 2087 nt
Filed under: Eutrema salsugineum
Lineage: Eukaryota; Viridiplantae; Streptophyta; Magnoliopsida; Brassicales; Brassicaceae
Source: RNAcentral